This 324-nucleotide unclassified non-coding RNA is filed under the name Hevea brasiliensis (rubber tree). The record is from RNAcentral. Lineage: Eukaryota; Viridiplantae; Streptophyta; Magnoliopsida; Malpighiales; Euphorbiaceae.
GAAAGGCCCUCUUGGUAAUUGUGUAUUCAGUGGUGAUUAUGAUGGAAAGGCCCUCGAUGAUACGCUUCAUGCAUUUUGCAAGUCAUGAUUGCUGUUCUGGAUAUUUUUGUUCCUAGCUACACCGGCAUUCAAUUGUUGUGUCUGAUAUGUGAUUCUGUUUUGAAGGUCUUGCCAGUAUUUUUAAGUUUGGUCAUUUAAGCUAGCAAAGAUGGUUACUGAGUUGUAAUUUGCUAGUUAUGCAUUGGUCAAUAAAGUUAUCUAUUUUCUUCUUUAUGUAACGUUCGAUAUAUUUUCUUCAUUUGAUUACAUAUUUUUGUCCAUUGC